UACGAAGGGGGCUAGCGUUGUUCGGAAUUACUGGGCGUAAAGCGUGCGCAGGCGGUUUCUCAAGUCAAGGGUGAAAGCCCGGAGCUCAACUCCGGAAUUGCCUUUGAAACUGUGGAGCUAGAGUGCGGGAGAGGUGAGUGGAAUUCCCAGUGUAGAGGUGAAAUUCGUAGAUAUUGGGAAGAACACCGGUGGCGAAGGCGGCUCACUGGCCCGUAACUGACGCUCAGGCGCGAUAGCGUGGGGAUCAAACAGG
This 253-nucleotide ribosomal RNA is filed under the name uncultured bacterium. RNAcentral describes it as "partial 16S ribosomal RNA". It matches the Rfam family "Bacterial small subunit ribosomal RNA", at positions 524 to 776 of the family's 1533-position model. The record is from RNAcentral.